GGGGAACAAAUUGGCAAAAUAUAUUUGAUGCAGGAAACAUUUGAAGAGUUAUGACAGGAAACAGUUCUGGUAGCACACUCAUCCAUCCACUAAUUAUCAGACAUAUGUGCCAUAAUGUACCACCCGCGGCAAUAAAUACCAGUGUUGAAUUUAUUUUAAAAGAGAGCAUUGAAUUUAUGACUACAUAUCCACAUCAGUGGGGAAUGCAGAGUACUUUGAAACAACAAAACACACACACACUUAAGAAUAAAAGCUCUAAUUAUGCUCUUAAUGUUUUAAAAACUUGUAUUUUGGAAUACUAAAACUCUUAAUAGUAAUAGUAUUGUGCUCUACCAUAACAUACACCAAGCCUAGAGUGACAACAACCAAGUUAUGUCCUUGUAUCUCCAUGGUCAAGUUGGAGGAGUUUAUGGAAAUAUACGUCAGAGAUAGUAAAUAUGAGGGUUACUAUAAAGCUGACUGCUCUCUGACCAUUGACAGAAACUUAAACAACCGUCACAGAGGCCACUUACAUGCUGUACAAAGGUACAAAUCUCAUUUCCCUCUGCCUUGCGUCACAACUGGAACUCACUUAUCAGUGAAGCAUGACCAUUACACUGUUAUCGCCAAUGUUGUGUUUAAUACUUGCUGAUUUGUGUUUUAAUAUGUCACCCAAAGAUGCGCGGAACAGUUACAGGAUGUUUGAUGCUGGUGUGUGUUGUUGCUCUUCUGGCUGAGCAGGCAGAGGGACACAUCGCCUUCUUCAGCCCUAAAGAGAUGAGAGAGCUCAGGGAGAAGGAGGGAAGGAAGGAUGCUGAUCCACGAGCAGAGGAGGUUUUGAUUGAUGAGAUGUCUCCACAGUCAGCGGUGAGGAAUCCCUGCAUGUUUUUAAUGCAUUUCAUAAUGUAUUUGAGUUUCUUAUUGGAUUGUUUCCAUCUGAAGGGCCAGCCUGUGGAAAUAGGGCUAAAGCUUACUGCUAAAAAGGGCCAAAUUGGAUCUGCUUUCGGGAAGAUGCUGCAGAGCAUCAUAGAAGAGCCAGAGACCGUGAAAUAA
Cyprinus carpio (common carp) is the source of this 1032-nucleotide long non-coding RNA. Lineage: Eukaryota; Metazoa; Chordata; Actinopteri; Cypriniformes; Cyprinidae. The record is from Ensembl.